CCCUGGCUAGCUCUGUGAUGCUCCAGGGGCAAUGGUGAGAGCUGGGAAGUGGCUAGACUGGGGCUUUGCCUGAGCCAGAACCUCUAAGCCAGCCUAGCAGUACAGACCCCUGGAGGAGCCACAAGCACCAAGUGAAGGAGGCAGAGGAGGCUCUUCUGCGGUGCAAAAUCCAGCAAAUUUAUUAGGAGAAGCAGAAGCACCACAAACAGCCGAAAAUCACUAAAAGGGGAAUCACAAGCCAAAAAAGAGCAACACACCCCUGGGCCCGAGUUUUUAAAAUCUUUCAAAACAGAAGGUGGACACCAUAUAGUAACCCAUAAGUGAGUCUCGGGGUGUGGUUUUGAGGGCUACAACGAAUCAGAACAAGGGGAGGAGAGAGGGUUGGGAUAGGGAUUGGAUCAUAGGAUGAGGGACAGGGAACUUUCUGGAACAAAGGGUAGGGUUUGGGCUGAUGGACAGGGCAAAGGGGCCGGGUUGUCUUGACUGACAAGGAAAAAUCUGGGGAGAUUGCUGGAGGGACAGUUGGAUAGGAGGAUAUAACACAGGGGAGAAACUAACUGUAGUAACUCGGGGAACACCUGAACAUACCACAAGGUAACGGGGCAUGUGACUCAAUAAACUAACAUGCCGCAACCCAGGAAUUGAGGCUUUCAGCAGCUGCGAGGUGGCAGUGUUAGAACACGCAGCAGCUGGGGAAAGCCAUCUCUCUCUCACUCGGCUCUUGCUGUGUGGGAAGGUGCUGCGAGCUGUGGUGGCUGCGCUCAGCCUUGGCUGGGAGGAUGAUCUGCACCAGGAGAGAGCAGAAAGCUGCCACGGGAACAAAUACCCUGGAAGCAUUGUCUAGAGAUCUAAAAAGCUAAAGCCUCAGAGUACUUGAACCUAAACAUCCCCAAAUGGAUUCAUAAGCUAUUAUGGGCACAUCUCUGUUGUUUUCAGAGUCAAUGAAACUGACAAUGAAUGUCUGGAAAUUAGGAAAACCAGCCCAGAUUUUAUCUCCAUUACUCUAAGAACACCUUAAUGAGGCACUUCAGGAACUGAGCACUAACAUUCUCACCCUGCUCUAUUUACUUUACAUUUGAAUACAGGCUGGUAGGAGAAGAGAUCUGGCUUUAAUUUCUCCCCAAGUUACCUGUUGCACUUUCAGCUUAGGAGUACAUGUAAAAUGCAGCUAAUCACUCUCUCUAUCCAAGAAUAUUCCACUAGUGAACUGACAUACAGAAACAUCCUUUUUCUCUUUGUACCUUCAUAAGCCAUAUUGAACAGGAGACUUGCAUAAAUCAAACAGAAAAUCACCAAAAUUGCUGAAAUUAACACUCAAUUCCAUGAUAAAAGCUUCUGAGAAAACACCUGACAGGAUCACUGAACAAACUCAAGCAUUGAAGAGAAGCAUGCAUUUUAGCACUGAUCAAGGGGAAAGAAAAAGAAAUGCUGUAAAAAUUCCAAGUGGAAGAUAAGGAGAAAGACAGGAAGCACAGGAAGACCAAGGCCCUGUCAGAUGAACUGUGGAAGGUAACUUUGUGCCCCAGCUCUGUCAGAGGACGUUCCCUGUCAUUGGUGCAAGCAGCUGGAGACAGAAAUACUGCUUGAUUUGGGGGCCACAGUCUUGGUAAGUGCAGAGGUGGUUCAAUAACGUGACAUGAGGGAGUUCCCCCAGAGCAACUGGGAUGCCUGAAAGAAGUGAACAGCUCACCACAGCCUGGUCCACUCGGCUGCUUUCUCUUUCUAACCCUCCUGGGGAGGCUCUGACAUUUCCUCUUCCCUGAUGGAAGUGCAGCUGCUGCCAAGGGAAACGUCCCCAUACUGACUCAGUGUUCCCUUUGCUUCCCAGAUGUCCCAUCUGCUGUCCCUGUCCAGGAGAGCUGCUCUGCCCAGGAGGAAGAGACCGAGGGAGAGCCUGGGAACAUGGGGUGCUGCAAUCCCUCCUGAUCUAGUUCUGUUUAUGGAUGGGUACAAUUAGACUUGGAUAGUUACAAGUGUAGGGAUAUUUACAUAAAUAGACUGAUAUUUGUAUAGGGAUAUUAUGAAUGUGUAUCUAGUUACAUUUUUAGAUGUAUGUUAUAUGUGCGUGUGUAUAUUUAUAUUUAUAUAUGUAUACAUGUAAAUAUGUAAAUAUAUAAAUAUAUACAUAUAUGUAUGCAGUUAUAUAUAUGUGUAGCUAUGUAUUUAGUUGUAUUUAUAUGUCUGUGUUCACUUUACGCCCCUGCUUUGUUAUAUUCACAUAUGUGCACAGGUGUACAGCUCUAUAGUUCCACUGUUAAAGUUAGAUGGAUUUUUAUAUUGGUACAUUGAUAUUUGUAUUUAUAUAUAGGAUUUUUAUGUAUAUGUCUUAUUAUAUGUAACACUUAAUAUAUAUUUACAUUGCACAUUGUUAUGGUGGUGUAUUUACUUAUAUUGAAACACAUAUGGAUUUGUAUAGUUCUGAAAUUGUAUUCAUUUAGUUCUAGGUCUAGAGUUAUUUAGAGAGGAAUAUUGAUAUUCCUGUGUUUGUAUAUGGGCAGUACAGUUGUAGUAAUAUGUAAUAAAUUUAAUUGUUCAAUUGAUAUUUGUUUAUAGUGAGUGUUUGUAGAGAGUUUCAGUACAUUAGGGUUUUUUAACUAUUUGAUAUUUGUAAAUAUUUACAUUGCAUAAUAGUAACAAUAAAUUUGUUUUGUAACUGUAAAUUGAUAUUUGCAUAUUGGCAGCACCGGUGUAGCAACUUAUAAAAAAUUUUAUUUUUUAAACCUA
Passer domesticus (house sparrow) is the source of this 2724-nucleotide long non-coding RNA. RefSeq lists it as uncharacterized. Lineage: Eukaryota; Metazoa; Chordata; Aves; Passeriformes; Passeridae. The record is from RefSeq and is a predicted model, not a curated record. The transcript has 2 exons.